AUUCCAGCUCCAAUAGCGUAUAUUAAAGUUGUUGCGGUUAAAAGACUCGUAGUUGGAUUUCUGUUGAGGGCAUCCGGUCCGCACUAUGUGCGUGUAUCUGGUUUGGCCUCGGCAUCCUUCCGGAAACGUGUCUGCGCUUGAUUGCGUGGCGCGGAGUUCGGAACUUUUACUUUGAGGAAAUUAGAGUGUUCACGGCAGGCAGUCGCCUUGAAUAUAUUAGCAUGGAAUAAUAAUAUAGGGAUCUUGGUUCUAUUUUGUUGGUUCUAGAGCUAAGAUAAUGAUUAAUAGGGACAAUUGGGGCAUUCGUAUUAACGCGUCAGAGGUGGAAUUCUUUGGAUUGCGUUUACGACGAAACUACUGCGAAAGCAUUUUGCCCAAGGAUGUUUUUCAUUGAUCAAGAACGAAAGUUGGAGGCUCGAAGACGAUCAGAUACCGUCCUAGUUCCAACCAUAAACGAUGCCGUCUGCGGAUCGGAGUCGCUCAC
Molecule: ribosomal RNA, 484 nt
Filed under: uncultured marine eukaryote
Lineage: Eukaryota
Description: bacterial SSU rRNA
Rfam family: Eukaryotic small subunit ribosomal RNA
Source: RNAcentral